Molecule: small RNA, 1670 nt
Filed under: Pongo abelii (Sumatran orangutan)
Lineage: Eukaryota; Metazoa; Chordata; Mammalia; Primates; Hominidae
Description: processed transcript
Source: RNAcentral
UCCGGGCCCGACCGUCAUGGAGCGGUGCGGGGCCUACGCCUGUUCCGUGUGAGGCGCGUCGCUGCCGCCGCCGCCGCCGGCGCCGCCUUCGUUUGUCGAGGCCUCCGGAACCCCCGCCGCCUCCCGGAGCCCCUCGCCCUUGGCAGCCUGUCACCGCCCCCUGGGCGGGCUCGAAUGCGCGUCCGGUGAAGGUGCAGGCCCGGCGCCGCCACUGCCGCAGCCAGGAGAUGGUUCGGGCCUAGCGGAGCCGGGACUGGAGCAACAUGAACCGUGAAGACCGGAAUGUGCUGCGUAUGAAAGAACGGGAAAGGCGGAAUCAGGAAAUUCAGCAGGGCGAAGACGCCUUCCCACCUAGCUCUCCUCUCUUUGCAGAGCCAUACAAAGUUACUAGCAAAGAAGAUAAGUUAUCAAGUCGUAUUCAGAGUAUGCUUGGAAACUACGAUGAAAUGAAGGAUUUCAUAGGAGACAGAUCUAUACCAAAGCUUGUUGCAAUUCCCAAGCCUACAGUACCACCAUCAGCAGAUGAAAAAUCUAACCCAAAUUUCUUUGAGCAGAGACAUGGAGGCUCUCAUCAGAGUAGCAAAUGGACUCCAGUAGGACCUGCACCCAGCACUUCUCAGUCUCAGAAACGGUCCUCAGGCUUACAGAGUGGACAUAGUAGCCAGCGGACCAGUGCAGGUAGCAGUAGUGGCACUAACAGUAGUGGUCAGAGGCACGACCGUGAGUCAUAUAACAGUAGUGGGAGCAGUAGCCGGAAAAAAGGCCAGCAUGGAUCAGAACACUCCAAAUCACGUUCUUCCAGCCCUGGAAAACCCCAGGCUGUUUCUUCAUUAAGUUCUAGUCAUUCCAGGUCUCACGGGAAUGAUCACCAUAGCAAGGAACAUCAACGCUCCAAAUCACCUCGGGACCCUGAUGCAAACUGGGAUUCUCCUUCCCGUGUACCUUUUUCAAGUGGGCAGCACUCAACUCAAUCUUUCCCACCCUCAUUGAUGUCAAAGUCCAAUUCAAUGUUACAGAAACCCACUGCCUAUGUGCGGCCCAUGGACGGACAGGAGUCCAUGGAACCAAAGCUGUCCUCUGAGCACUACAGCAGCCAAUCCCAUGGCAACAGCAUGACUGAGCUGAAGCCCAGCAGCAAAGCACAUCUCACCAAGCUGAAAAUACCUUCCCAACCACUGGAUGCAUCAGCUUCUGGUGAUGUGAGCUGUGUGGAUGAAAUCUUAAAAGAGAUGACGCAUUCAUGGCCACCCCCUCUAACGGCUAUUCAUACACCAUGCAAAACAGAACCUUCCAAAUUUCCUUUUCCAACUAAGGAGUCUCAGCAGUCCAAUUUUGGCCCUGGAGAACAAAGGCUCAAGUGAUCCUCCUGCCUCAGCCUACUGAGUAGCUGGGACUAUGGGCACAUGCCACUAUGCCUGGCUGAUUUUUUAAAUUUUUAGUAGAGAUAGGGUCUCACUAUGUUGCCCAGGCUGGUCUCGAACUCCUGAGCUCAAGUGAUCCACCUGCCUCGCCUCCCAAAGUGCUGGGAUUACUGGUGUGAACCACCAUGCCCUCGUAUCCUAAUUUUUAUGAUCUAAUGGGUAGUAGUGGGUUGAGCUGAAAAAUUGUUAUGCUUUAAAAAAUUCAAGAACUGUAGGUCACUGGAGAUCAAAAUACACUACUUUUAUUAA